AUUGAACGCUGGCGGCAGGCCUAACACAUGCAAGUCGAACGAGUGGCGUACGGGUGAGUAAUGUCUGGGAACCUGCCCGGUGGAGGGGGAUGACUACUGGAAACGGAAGCUAAUACCGCAUACCAUGGGAGGUGCCCGUAUGGGAGUAGCGAGUGGGUGGGGUAACGGCUCACCAAGGCGACGAUCCCUAGCUGGUCUGAGAGGAUGACCAGCCACACUGGGACUGAGACACGGUCCAGACUCCUACGGGAGGCAGCAGUGGGGAAUAUUGGACAAUGGGGGCAAGCCUGAUGCAGCCAUCCCGCGUGUAUGAAGAAGGCCUUCGGGUUGUAAAGUACUUUCAGCGAGGAGGCGUUACCUGCAGAAGAAGCACCGGCUAACUCCGUGCCAGCAGCCGCGGUAAUUC
This 406-nucleotide ribosomal RNA is filed under the name uncultured bacterium. RNAcentral's name for it is "partial 16S ribosomal RNA". It matches the Rfam family "Bacterial small subunit ribosomal RNA", at positions 29 to 526 of the family's 1533-position model. The record is from RNAcentral.